Molecule: ribosomal RNA, 511 nt
Filed under: uncultured bacterium
Lineage: Bacteria
Description: bacterial SSU rRNA
Rfam family: Bacterial small subunit ribosomal RNA
Source: RNAcentral
AGAGUUUGAUCCUGGCUCAGGACGAACGCUGGCGGCGUGCUUAACACAUGCAAGUCGAGCGGAAAGGCUCCCUUCGGGGAGUACUCGAGCGGCGAACGGGUGAGUAACACGUGGGCAACCUACCUCUCGUAUCGGGAUACCCCGGGGAAACCCGGAUCAAUACCGAAUAACGUGCCCCUCGCUGGAGGGAGUACCAAAGAUAGCUUCGGCCUUCGACGAGAGACGGGCCCGCGUCCCAUUAGCUAGUUGGCGGGGUAACGGCCCACCAAGGCGACGAUGGGUAGCUGGUCUGAGAGGAUGAUCAGCCACACUGGGACUGAGACACGGCCCAGACUCCUACGGGAGGCAGCAGUGGGGAAUCUUGCGCAAUGGGCGGAAGCCUGACGCAGCAACGCCGCGUGCGGGAGGAAGGCCUUCGGGUUGUAAACCGCUUUCAGGAGGGACGAAGCCACUUGGGUUAAUAGCCCGUAGGGUGACGGUACCUCCAGAAGAAGCCCCGGCUAACUACGUG